Molecule: ribosomal RNA, 465 nt
Filed under: uncultured bacterium
Lineage: Bacteria
Description: partial 16S ribosomal RNA
Rfam family: Bacterial small subunit ribosomal RNA
Source: RNAcentral
GACGAACGCUGGCGGCGUGCUUAACACAUGCAAGUCGUACGGUAAGGCCCUUUCGGGGGUACACGAGUGGCGAACGGGUGAGUAACACGUGAGUAACCUGCCCACAAAUUUGGGAUAACGCUAGGAAACUGGUGCUAAUACUGGAUAUGUGCUCCUGCUGCAUGGUGGGGGUUGGAAAGCUCCGGCGGUUGUGGAUGGACUCGCGGCCUAUCAGCUUGUUGGUGGGGUAGUGGCCUACCAAGGCGGCGACGGGUAGCCGGCCUGAGAGGGUGACCGGCCACAUUGGGACUGAGAGACGGCCCAGACUCCUACGGGAGGCAGCGGUGGGGAAUAUUGCACAAUGGGCGCAAGCCUGAUGCAGCAACGCCGCGUGCGGGAUGACGGCCUUCGGGUUGUAAACCGCUUUCAGCAGGGACGAAGCUUUUUGUGACGGUACCUGCAGAAGAAGCACCGGCUAACUACGUG